Molecule: RNA transcript, 1356 nt
Organism: Eutrema salsugineum
Lineage: Eukaryota; Viridiplantae; Streptophyta; Magnoliopsida; Brassicales; Brassicaceae
Exons: 10
Source: RefSeq, a predicted model, not a curated record
GGGCUUGUUUGGAAUCUUCGAGAAAAAGUAUUGAACUUUGUCCCGAUUGAGUGAAAAUGGAUAGACUGAGAGAUUGCAUAGAGGAAAUGGUGAAAUUCACACUCGACCACCGUACAGAUUUCGAUUUGGGGCUGACCGGUGAUUUCUGCUCCGGCCUUCUUUCCGGCGACCCACUUCUUCCCGCCGAUACUGUAGAAGAAGCAUUUGCAGGUGUUCCUGAUUAUCCCUUGUACAAGCCUCUAGCUUUAAGCCUGAUGAAAUCAGUUGCUUCUGGUUGUUUCUGUGGAACCUUUGAGAAGAUUCCGUUGGUGAAAGAGGUAACCUGGUUGAAGGAGAGAGAGGAUGAGUGGAGCAAGCUGAUUGCCCAAAAGGGAUCCGAGUUAGUCAAUGCCGUUAAGGAUAUAGCUUGUGAGCUUCACGUUCAAGAGCCCUUAUUCUCCCUCAUGAAAGAUGGCAUCAAAACAGUUGACGCAAGGUGUUUCGAAGCUGGGUAUGAUAGACUUGAACAAAGAAGCUCAACUGUUAUGAUAAAUAAAUGUCUCAUAUUUGAAGUUCUGGAAGUUCACCAGUUUUCUUCCUUUUACGAGCUGUUGAAAGCCGAGAGUCCAGAGAAAGUGUUUCCUGGCAUUAAAACAUUGGAACAAGUCUUAGGUAUGCAAAUGUUUAGGAAGUUGUAUGAUGUUGAUCAAGAGGAGGUAAACGGUGUUGUAGCAAUCCAUCUUACUAAAUCAGUUUCUCAGCCUUCUGUAGCUUUGGCUCACAUACUCUCUGUGAGUUGUAGUUUUUCCAUGUCUUCUUCUGUGAUUUAUGAUUCAUAUUCCCUUUUCCUAUGUUUCUCCCAAAAACUAGUUUUCAAAAUUGCAGGGUUUGAGUUACACCGGGGUGCAAAGCCUUCUGGGUCUUUCUCACACUAUUGGGUCCAUUUCUCAUGCUCUGCCUCCUCCGAGAUCGAUUCUACUCUCUUCAUUCAUGCUUCCAUAUAGACCAAAGGUUGUAGAUUGAGCCAUGGAGCUAGAGCAUUAGCCAAACAUGUUGAUCGAAGUAGCGACAGAUUUUGGGGUGUUCUUCAUGGAACUGAUUCAGAUAAGAAUAGCCUUGCGAUGGAGAUUAUCAACCGCUUUGUUGGCCACUGUUGCUGGAUGAACAUACAUAUCGUUCCACCACACGGUGAAGUGUUCGAGAUAAGAGUAGCUCAAGGCUAUGGAGCACGUUGGUCUCAAGAUGGAACCAAAUUCAUUGGAUUUCUUGAGCCUUACACUGAGGACGGUCACUCCAUGGACUGGAAGCAUUAGACCACACCUGAACAUUUCUUUUGUAGCUGAAUUUUUUUCUUUAAAAACUCUAAAUGCUUCUUUU